AAUGAACGCUGGCGGCAGGCCUAACACAUGCAAGUCGAACGGAUCCUCCGGGAUUAGUGGCGGACGGGUGAGUAACGCGUGGGAACAUACCCUUUGGUACGGAAUAGCCUCGGGAAACUGGGAGUAAUACCGUAUGUGGUCGAGAGACGAAAGAUUUAUCGCCAAAGGAUUGGCCCGCGUUGGAUUAGGUAGUUGGUGGGGUAAUGGCCUACCAAGCCGACGAUCCAUAGCUGGUUUGAGAGGAUGAUCAGCCACACUGGGACUGAGACACGGCACAGACUCCUACGGGAGGCAGCAGUGGGGAAUCUUAGACAAUGGGGGAAACCCUGAUCUAGCCAUGCCGCGUGAUCGAUGAAGGCCUUAGGGUUGUAAAGAUCUUUCAGGUGGGAAGAUAAUGACUGUACCACCAGAAGAAGCCCCGGCUAACUCCGUGCCAGCCGCCGCGGUAA
Molecule: ribosomal RNA, 449 nt
Filed under: uncultured bacterium
Lineage: Bacteria
Description: partial 16S ribosomal RNA
Rfam family: Bacterial small subunit ribosomal RNA
Source: RNAcentral